This 229-nucleotide ribosomal RNA is filed under the name uncultured bacterium. Its description in RNAcentral is "partial 16S ribosomal RNA". It matches the Rfam family "Bacterial small subunit ribosomal RNA", at positions 568 to 796 of the family's 1533-position model. The record is from RNAcentral.
CGUGCAGGCGGGUUGGUAAGUCAGAUGUGAAAGCCCUGGGCUCAACCCAGGAAGUGCAUUUGAAACUGCCAUCCUAGAGUAUGGGAGAGGAGAGUGGAAUUCCCAAUGUAGAGGUGAAAUUCGUAGAUAUUGGGAGGAACACCCGUGGCGAAGGCGACUCUCUGGACCAAUACUGACGCUGAGACGCGAAAGCGUGGGGAGCAAACAGGAUUAGAUACCCUGGUAGUCC